Molecule: ribosomal RNA, 195 nt
Filed under: Triticum aestivum (bread wheat)
Lineage: Eukaryota; Viridiplantae; Streptophyta; Magnoliopsida; Poales; Poaceae
Description: partial small subunit ribosomal RNA
Source: RNAcentral
GGAUAAUCACACCCCGCACGGAGAGGUGUGGUUAGGGCUGUGGUGAAGGCGCACAAUGUGGCCAUGGCAUGUAUCCAAGAAACCAAAUUAUCUGUGGUGGACAGUAGGAUGGUGCAAGAGUGUUGUGGGGCUGAGUUUGACAAGUUUACCUUCUCUCCCGCGGACGGGACGCGCGGUGGAAUUUUACUCGCAUGG